UACGGAGGGAGCUAGCGUUGUUCAGAAUUACUGGGCGUAAAGCGUGCGUAGGUGGUUUGUUAAGUCUGAUGUGAAAGCCCUGGGCUCAACCUGGGAAUUGCAUUGGAUACUGGCAGGCUAGAGUGCGGUAGAGGGUAGUGGAAUUCCCGGUGUAGCAGUGAAAUGCGUAGAGAUCGGGAGGAACAUCUGUGGCGAAGGCGACUACCUGGACCAGCACUGACACUGAGGCACGAAAGCGUGGGGAGCAAACAGGAUUAGAUACCCUGGUAGUCCACGCCCUAAACGAUGCGAACUGGAUGUUGGGCUCAACUUGGAGCUCAGUAUCGAAGCUAACGCGUUAAGUUCGCCGCCUGGGGAGUACGGUCGCAAGACUGAA
Molecule: ribosomal RNA, 376 nt
Filed under: uncultured bacterium
Lineage: Bacteria
Description: bacterial SSU rRNA
Rfam family: Bacterial small subunit ribosomal RNA
Source: RNAcentral